AACGAACGCUGGCGGCAUGCCUAACACAUGCAAGUCGAACGAGACCUUCGGGUCUAGUGGCGCACGGGUGCGUAACGCGUGGGAACCUGCCUUUAGGUUCGGAAUAACUCAGAGAAAUUUGAGCUAAUACCGGAUGAUGUCUUCGGACCAAAGAUUUAUCGCCUUUAGAUGGGCCCGCGUUGGAUUAGCUAGUUGGUGGGGUAAAGGCCUACCAAGGCGACGAUCCAUAGCUGGUCUGAGAGGAUGAUCAGCCACACUGGGACUGAGACACGGCCCAGACUCGUACGGGAGGCAGCAGUGGGGAAUAUUGGACAAGGGGCGAAAGCCUGAUCCAGCAAUGCCGCGUGAGUGAUGAAGGCCUUAGGGUUGUAAAGCUCUUUUACCCGAGAUGAUAAUGACAGUAUCGGGAGAAUAAGCUCCGGCUAACUCCGUG
This 433-nucleotide ribosomal RNA is filed under the name uncultured bacterium. RNAcentral describes it as "partial 16S ribosomal RNA". It matches the Rfam family "Bacterial small subunit ribosomal RNA", at positions 29 to 507 of the family's 1533-position model. The record is from RNAcentral.